UCCCUCUCCGACAGCACAAACUUUCGGCUCAGGAACUGCCCGUUGUCCCGGCCUCGCUUCCACAGAAACCCUUCCCGGUACCCUGCAGAAUAAGGCUCCUGCUUCUCACUGUGAAUGAAUUCUUUCCUUUCGUAUUUGGCUCUGAUCCACUGUUCCCGCAGCAGCUGACAGUCAAGAAAUGUUGGCUUGUAAUAAAACGGUGGCAUUUUCGAUUCGUAUUUUGCUUUUGCUACGUUGUUCCCAUUUGAGGCCAUAAACUCCACUUGAGCAUCAUCCCAGUCAUCCAGACGGACCGACUUCACCUUGCUGACUUGUGGAAUAUUGCGAUGGAUUCCCGAGCAGUUCAAACAGAUGAAAAUCCCUAGGCUAUGAGACGCCCAGUCCGGAUCCGGAGCGGCGCAGUCGGCGCACGCCGCGUUGCCCGGCCGCUGGAGCAGCUCGGCCAGCGCCUUCCUGCUCCUCUCCUUCGCCAUGGGGGCUGCGGGCGGGUCCGCCGCGGUUAGCGGCGCCUCAUCGCGGGGCGCGGCGCGUUGGGCGGCGCCGGGGCUGCUCCAUGCGGCCCC
RNAcentral lists this long non-coding RNA (563 nucleotides) under Gallus gallus (chicken). The record is from RNAcentral. Lineage: Eukaryota; Metazoa; Chordata; Aves; Galliformes; Phasianidae.